CGACCCCAGGUCAGGCGGGAACACCCGCUGAGUUUAAGCAUAUCAA
This 46-nucleotide ribosomal RNA is filed under the name Deluciris rupestris. Its description in RNAcentral is "partial 28S ribosomal RNA". Lineage: Eukaryota; Viridiplantae; Streptophyta; Magnoliopsida; Asparagales; Iridaceae. RNAcentral also lists the same sequence under 2 other names. The record is from RNAcentral.